Molecule: ribosomal RNA, 885 nt
Filed under: Triticum aestivum (bread wheat)
Lineage: Eukaryota; Viridiplantae; Streptophyta; Magnoliopsida; Poales; Poaceae
Description: partial small subunit ribosomal RNA
Source: RNAcentral
AUGGCUGCAAUAAUGGUGAGCGCUUCAACUGGGGUGAUGAACUCUCUCCUGCGUAAGCUGGCCACCUUGAUGGGGGACGAGUUCGCCAAGCUAACGAACUUGAGGAAGGAGGUUAAGCACAUCAUUGAUGAGCUGGGCAGUAUGAAGGGUGCUCUGGAGAGCCUUGCAGAUGUGGAUGAGCUAGAUAUACAGACGACGAGGUGGAGAGACGAGGUCAGGGAGAUGUCUUAUGACAUCGAGGAUAUUAUCGAUGACUUCAUGUGCAAAAUUGGGGAGAAGAAGAAAAAAUCUGGGUUUGUCCACGACACUAUUCAACGCCACAAAACUUCAAGGGCCCGCCAUCAGAUUGCUGGUCAGAUUGAGGACAUAAAAAAACUUGUGCGUGAAACAAGUGAACGGCGUAAAAGAUAUAAGCUCGAUGCCCCCAAAUCACAUAGUGUGGCAAUUGACCAACGAGUUGUCGCACUCUAUGAAAAUGCAGCUAAACUUGUUGGUAUGGAGGGCCCAACCAAAGAGAUUAUCAGUUGCCUAAACGAUGAGGAGAAGGAUAAAAAGCUGAAGGUUGUAUCAAUUGUUGGUUUCGGAGGUUUAGGUAAAACAACACUCGCCAAUGAGGUAUACCAUAAGCUGAAGGGGCGAUUUCACUGUGGUGCAUUUGUGCCGGUGUCUCAGAAGCCAAAUAUUCCAAAACUUCUGCAUAGUUUAUUAACCCAACAUGGGCGUGGCCAAUCAUUUCAUGAUUGUGAGUUAAAUGUUCUUCUCGACCAACUCAGAGAAAAUCUAAAAAAAAGAGGUACUUGGUUGUCAUUGAUGAUCUAUGGGAUGCAUCAGCAUGGAAUAUUAUUAAAUGUGCUUUCCCAGAAAAUGAACUUCAUAGUAGAUUAA